GUUGCUAACCAGGUGGUCCAGGCACUCCUCACACAAAAGGACUUGAAAGAGGAAUGCGUGAAACUGCGGACCCGUGUGUUUGACUUGGAGCAACAGAACCGUAUACUGAGUGUGCUGUUUCAACAACGUGUCAAAAUGUCUGCUGUUCCCAUCUCCCAGGAGGGCCAAAGAAAUGGAAAAGCAGGCAUUCCUUCAGGAAGGUGGCCAAGCCUGCUGAGCCUCACGUGCCCCCGCAGCAGUGGGAGCGGCAGCGGCAGUGAACUGUCACUGUCCAGUGCAUGCAGUGAAUUCUCCACUGGCUCCCACACUUGGGCAGAAGGGCGUGGCUCCUCUAAGCAAAAUGCUUCAAGCCGGGACAAACGGUUGAGUAAUGGCUCCGUAUCCAGCAAUCAUUCUGCACCCACUGAGCAAAAAGACAUUGGCUGGAAGGAGGGGCAUAUUUUAAAAGGCCUAAAGCGUCUUCAAAUGAGCAACUCCAAGGAUGCAUCUUCACUUGCUUCUGAACCACACUGCAAAGAUUGCAUGACCUCCAAUGAGGGUAUUUAUUCUCUUGGUGUUAAGUGUGGACAACAAGCGAUUGUAGCUAAGCAGGGAAUCCCUUCAAAUAAGCCUUUUAAAGGAAAAUCAGAGGUUGCCACUCUGGAAUCGGAUGAUCCAGAUGAGGACUCACCAAGGGAGUCUAGAGAUCAACCAAAGAAGGAGCAUCUUUGUUUGGAGAAAUUGGAUCAUGGGAAUGAUGACAGCUUUCAAGAAGACUCCUUGGGACGUUCAGGUAUUUCUGGUCUUUUCCCAUCACCUGGUUCUGACAAGUUCUUAUUUUUGGAGGGCCCAUCAGUGAAACCUGGUGUGAGCCCAUCUGAUAGCCUCACACAUCUGGAAGACACAAACACAAACUCGUUGGAGAAGCACAGGACAUCAAGCCUAAAGUUCAGUGACAGAAAUAAUAACCAGGAGCGGUACAGUGAACGUAAAUCCAGACUUGAUGAUAACAAAAGACAACAGGAAAUAAACUCACAUAAGCAAGUGGAAACAGUCACAAAUGGCGUAGACUUGUCUAUUCAACAUGCUGCUAUGAGAGCUCUUAGCUACACGCAUGAUUCAAGACAGCGCAGCUCCUCAGUGGAGGUCCCUCACUGCAGAGAGCAAGCUCAUCAAGCUCAAAGUGAAACCAAAGAUUCCACCAUCUUGGAGUCUCCACAGAGGAAGCCAUUGCCCCCAGUGUGUGACUCUGCAAGGAACGCUUUCAUUCUCCGGAGCAAAAGCGCAGAUGGAGGGCAAGAAAAACUCAAGCAUUCUCCUCUACACCAAAAGCUUAUAAAAGGUCAAAGAGCAAAAGGACAGACAAACCAAAACCUUUCAGGACACAGUGUUUCUAGCAAAAGGACAAAUGUCAACAAACCCUAUGGCUCUUGUCAGGAAACAUUGUCCAAAUCUGAGGAAGUUGGAGAUUCUAUAAUAUCAUCUAGUUCCAAGUCUGUUGAGAAUGUACAGCACGGCUCUCCUCUUGCAUCUCCUGUGAAACAAUCAAAGGUUGUCAAGAACUCAGGCAUCAACGAGGGCGCAAAAAGUCCAGCAAAAUCCUCUGUGCACAUAAGUAGGCUCUCGAGUGGUGACUCUGUGGAAGAAAGCAUCUACGACAAUUUACCCUGCUCACCAAGAAAACAGCGGCGCCAGGACAAGCACUGUGAAGUCUCCCAAACUGAGCCUAGAUCUCCCUCCUCGCCUCUCACCCCAGGUCAAAGUAUUGCCAUACUAUUUACGCACAACUCUGAUCAAAAAACAUCUGGGAAACAAACACCAACAACAUUGAAGACCCAAACAAAUGAGUUUGUUUCUUCAUCACAUACUGAAAUUCUUGACCCCCUAAAAGACAAUCAACAAACAGCUCAACAAAGAGGUGCUGAAUGUAAACCUAUGAAAGAUAUACCUACCAAUAUUCACCACACCCACAAGAUACCACCUGUCCCCAUACAAGAAUCCCAGCCUCCUGAGUCAGUCCAGUUAUGCACUCACAGAAACGCCCCAUCUCUUGGAGAAAAUGCAGCUGCUGCAAUAUUUCCCCAUCCAAGCAUCCUUCACAGAUCUCAACAGAGCAUUAGUGAGCCAAAGCUUUCAGAAUUUAUGCCACCAGUGUACUCUAACAUUUAUUACCAUGGAAAUUCCCAAAAUCCACCAUCUUCCUCAUCGAGGGCUAUGAAGAGGACUUUCCCUGCUAAUGCUAAAUCUCAUGAAGCAAUUGCUGGUCAAGAUACAAGUACCUUCCUUGUUUUUGGAAGACAACACAAAGAUGAUCUGAAAAGUGCACAAACCUUUCAAACUUUUACUUGUGACCCCCACGUGUGCCACAGUGGGGCACAUGACAAAGUUCAUAGAAAGAUUGAGACUCGUUGUAGUUCCCUAGACUCUGAGCCUGUUCGACCUGUUGCCACAGACAGCAGUGUGAUGUUAGACUGGGGAUUCGAUGAGGAAGGUUGGCUGUUCAAACGCUCAGUGUCUGUUUCCACCAGGCCUCUUUUCAAACCUGUAAUGGGCAUGAAUGGUGCAAAGGCUCGCAGUCAGAGCUUUGGUGCACGCUACAUGGACCGGCCGAGCUUCAAUAGAUCCGGUAAAGUUCGCACUCAGAUCAAAACACACUCUGGGAGCUCUUUGAAUUCUCUUGGGGAUGUCCUUCCUGGUAGUAUGAGUUGCUCCAGUAGUUACCAUUGUCCAAUGAAUAGAUCCCUUUUGAACAACUUUUUGAUUGAAGAGGGACUAACUGUUCCCACGCAGUUGGGUUCCUCCAGUGAAAGGCUUCAGAGCCUGAAACUUCAACGAGAGCAAGCUAGGCGGGUUCAGAUUGAGCAACAAUUUUCCAGCGCCUUUGGGGAGCCAGUCUCAGAAGAACCAGAAAGACAAAGUACCAUAACCACCAUUGAAGAGAAAGUUAUGCUUGGAAUUGAGGAGAACUUGCACAAAUCUCAGGAACAAGAGAGAACGAAUGAAAUCAAGCAAAAGUCUGGCUCAAGUCUUGCAAAUUGGUUUGGUUUUCGUAAAAGUAAGCUGCCGGCACCAAGUAACAAGAAGGCCGAACCAGUCAAAGUCAAAGAGGAAAAACGGGAGCAAAAAAUUACAUCACUUUUGGGAGGGAAGAAUGCAAAGUCUGACAAAAAGAAAGAACGAAGGAAGAGUGAUGGAAAAGAAAGCUCUGUUGGAAGAAGAGAGUCUCAUGAUGCAGUGAGGGCAUGCAUCUCAAUGCCCUGCCCAGGAAUGUCAAUGAGUGAAAUUCAGGGACACACAAACGUCAUCGGGGAACCAAAGUUGCAGGUGAUGAGUCUGAGAGCUGAUGAUGACAAAGGUUCCACGGUGAAGAAUGUCCCCAAGGAUGCAGUAAUAGGCUCUGGUUGCAAGACGCGAACAUUGGAUAGUGGAAUCGGGACCAUCCCUCUCCCAGAAUCCUGUUCCUUCUUCUCCUCCAUUCUGCACCUCCUGCCUAAAUCCUCCUCAACCCCAGAGCAGUCCCUUAUUUCUCCCAGUGUCCCUGGUUCAUCCAGCAAGGAUGUGUCUCCUUCCCCGUUACCCCGAUGGAGAGUACCCUCCAGCUCUAAGGACACCAGUCAUGCAGGGGUGCCGAACUCCAUGUCUGAUUCCUCCAUGACCCAUAUCCCAUCAGUGCCUUUUCCCUCUGUGGCCUUUCUCCAGCCCAUUCAACCCUCGUCUGAACCCUUUUUAACCUCUGCAAGUUUGUGUGAUUCGCAAAGCAGGCUGUCCAUGUCGACACAAGGUGGAGUGGAGCCAAAGAAAAUGACUAACAUCAAAUCGAAAGGACAUGUCACUCCAGGUCAACAGAAAGAUCAGACCAGGCUUCAGCUUGCCAACUAAAAUCUGAAGCUGUGAGAGCUGGCUUGAAGGAGAAACGAAGAAAUCGAUUAUCUCUCUACCAUAUAUAGAAGAUCCAUAAAAUUCUACACUUUAAAUAUGGUGUCUGCGUGUGCGGAUUAACACCCAAGAAUGAACAGCAUGUGGCAUUAAAGGCUCCCUUGCAGUGCAAAGAUACAGUGGGGAGUCAAGUUCUCUGGCAAACAUUUACGGAAGACCACACCUUACUGGCAGCAGCUGUGAACAACAAACGGAACCUCUAAAUGUGCAACCCCCGACAUUUAUUGACAACUUUUCGGCUGUGUACAUAGCACUUGAUCAAUUUCUAUGUAGCUACUUUCCUUCUCAACCAGCAAAUAAGGAGUGCAUGUGAGCCAAACAUAUCACUCAGUCAGCUGAAGUAUCCAUGGCAUGAGAACAGCAGCUGCAUUCAAGUUCCUUCAGGACCACAGAACACAUGUUUGCAUCUGAUGGAAUCAUUUAUUUAUGUUUAUUUAUGAAGUGUAAAGGAAUGCAUUUAGAAAAAUAUUAGGCACACCAGAAAAAAACAAAUCCUUUAAAGGAAGGAGACCUGACGGGAGUAAAAUGGCAUUAUACAUACAAUAAAAUCUAUUUUCUUAUUUAUUUAUUUAUUUAUUUAUUGAGUUUCAAACUCAACAACUCUGUUCAAGAAGAUCAUCUAAAAUCAAGUGUGGUUAAAUUAUAGUUGUAGAGAAAGAAAUCAUUAAAAAAAAACUAAAGACCCUUGUUUAACCAACAGAAAACACUUCUAAUGUUUUUACUGGCAUAGAAAUGAAAUUACUUUUAUUAUUAAUUUAUGCCCAUUUUUAUGGAUGAUUUUUUGAUGAUUCCUUUAAAUAAAGAAAAAAGAAAAAAGGGUUUGAUGUAAAACAUUUUUAGGGAGUAAUACAGUUAGAGCAACAACAAGGAUAAUUAACACAAAUGUUCACAGAAUUUAUGAAGGUAUUUUUAGAUGUAGCCAGGAAAAACAGACAAUGAAUUAAAUAUACAAUUUUUCAAGAUAUAACUUGUUGGAUGGAAAUGAUAACUAUUUUAAAUAUCGGACAAAUGCACAUAGAUUGUUAAAGGUGAGUUCUCCAUUAGACUAAAAAAGCUAAAUAAAAUGCUUUAUGUUGGAGCGUGAAACUAAAAAUGUGUGUAGAAAGUAAUUAUUUCUACCCGCAAUUCUUUCAUACCAUAUCCAUAAAUAUUGAGGAAAAAAUACAGCAAUAGAAAAAACCUUUCAUCUUAUUUUACCUUAGGUUUUCCAUUCAUGCAUUUUUUGUUGGUGCUUUAUCAGAUUCAGGGUGGCCUGCAGUCUCUUGAGGUUGGUUUCUGAAGCGAAAAAAAGCACAAUAAUUUCAAAAAGGUACAUACGUGUUUUUUUCUAAACAAGGGUUUGAUAAGGAAUCAGAUAGUCUCCAAUCACUUUCCAGGCAUUCUUUGUUUGUUUGUUUUUGCCACACAGCGGGCAAUGGAUGAGUACCUCUGAUGACCCAAAAAUAACAAAACUGCCUUCAAGUACAUUGUAAUUCUCAUUAUGUGCAUGUUAAAAAUACUACUUAAAAAUAUUAAGGUGCAAUAUAGAUCUUAGAUGUCAUAGUUUUGAACUGGCAUCAGUUGGAAUCUCAUCAGUCAUGUCUGAAGCGUAUCUUGUGUACAGCACUAACUGUUGGAUGCCAUUUCUGAACCUGUGAUUCUGUAACGUGUCUACUAGCAAUUCUAAGAUGUCCUAUGUUAAUCGCAACAAUGGUAAUUCCGUAUGCAUGCAACAAGCUGGGUUUGUCCAAAUCUAAUAUCAUAACCAUGAACUUUGUUGCAAGUAAACACAUUUUAUUCUACAAAUCUUGACUUUGUUAAAUAUUUCAUUAUCAUUACAGUUAACCUUUUAUUGCUCUAUGAGUGUUUCUUUUCAUAUAAAGGAAAAUGUCUUUUUUUUUAAUUGAUGAUUACAUCUAUUUGUUUGAAGUGUCUAUAUUUCCACAGUAAUGACAUCAAGAUAAAAUGUAUUUUUGCUUGUAACCUUAAGUUAAAGAGUUGGAGCAUAGUGGACGUUGUUUUACUAGCUCAGGGAAAAUACCAAUUGUUGUCUGUGAUAGAUGCUGUGGAUUAAAGAAGUACACUGCACCUCGAAUAAGGCUAACUACUUAUUUAAACAAAAGCACCAGGUGUCAUUGUUCAUGUUUCAGUUUAGAGUAGCCAACAUAUAAUCAGUAUCUUCUUAUUGUCAGACCACGAUCACUCAGUCUUUCUGUUGUAUAUGCUGUUUUUUUCUAUAACUGCUUUGUGUCAUAACUGCAUUCCCACAUAUUUAGCAAUUGAAGCUGCUUUGCGGCAUUUCCCUGCCACACCUUUGUCUCUGCUUCUCAUGUGUACAUAUUUGGCUCAAUGCAUAUAGCCAAACUGCUCGGAGCUCGUGACAUAUUUAAACAGAUUGCAACUACAUCUUAACAUCAGACUCGUCAUUGUGACUAUAGCCAUAUUUUUUUGGAAAACACUUGAGACAGUUUGCAGGUUUAAGCACUGUAGCAUUGCACACUGAUUAGUCUUGUUAUUCUACUUUAUUUACCUCUUCUUCCAUUAUGCACUUAAGAAGUACGUAUAUUUCGAAGGAAGUAUCUGUAAAAACUGCAGCGAUGUUUACAGCAAUAGCAACACGUGUAUAAAAAAGAAAGGUACACAGGUGAGAGGAAUAUUAGGGGACAGACUUACUGAGCUGAUACGGGUAGGCGGAGCAUCUGUAUAUUAAAAUGACUCGCGUAAAGAAUAGCAUCACUUUCACAAGAGUGUUGUAUUUUUCUAAAAAGGUACUUUAAUUUCUUGUGUUGCUAUUUGGCACUAAUAAAUGUAUGUUUAUUGCACGUAUUGUUUCUCACUAUCACUUUAAACUGUCCUUAAUGUUUUUCCAUUUAGAACCUAGUUAAAACAGUGAUGUUCUAGUGUCAAAGUCACCUAUAGUAUGGACUCAUAAUUGUUUACUACCAAUAUUCUUUGUUUUAUGUCAAAGACUGAAAAAAAUAAACUAUUUCAAUACUUAUUUAUGUUCCAAGGUGUUUGAUUGAUUGAAUACCUUUACCAGCAAUGUUAAAAAGCUGCAGCUGAGACUGUUUCAACAAGACGAUACUUCUGGUUUGCUGCUUCUGCUGAGUACAGUCAUGGUGGUGGAGUGGUAAUGAGUUGGGCUCGUUUUUAUUGCGAAACAACAAUGCAGUAUGGGAAACGAAUUAAUUUUCAGCAAAAAACAUUUCCAAAAUUAAAUCUUGUAAUGUUAUCUCCUUGUAGUUCUUCAUUAAAUACUUUACAGCAUUGUGCAUCAGAACUUUGACAAACAGAAAAGCAAGCUUUCAGAUAUAUUGAGGGGAAUUAACUUACACAAACCAGC
This 7237-nucleotide long non-coding RNA is filed under the name Oryzias sinensis (Chinese medaka). Its description in RNAcentral is "lncRNA (ENSOSIG00000000722.1)". Lineage: Eukaryota; Metazoa; Chordata; Actinopteri; Beloniformes; Adrianichthyidae. The record is from RNAcentral.